AUGGCUUUGUGGAGGGGUUUACGAGAGGAACACAAAGUACCAGGAAGGUCAACAUUUGUGUUUGUGGAAACCUAACCCUAGCCGUAGCCAAUGCCCUAUUUCGUUUAUGAAACAGGGCAUUGAUGGAAAGGUAUAAUUAUAGUUUGCCGUUAGAUUUGUUGUGAUACUUGGGGUCCUUAUGAACACAAGUAAUCAACAAAAAUUGUGGUUUGUUCGCCCUUAUUCCACAUAUCAAAAAAGUGUCAGAAAGGGUAUUCUCGUUAAAAACCCCUCUUUUGUUUUUAGAAAUUUU
RNAcentral lists this non-coding RNA (292 nucleotides) under Anthidium xuezhongi. Lineage: Eukaryota; Metazoa; Arthropoda; Insecta; Hymenoptera; Megachilidae. The record is from RNAcentral.